Molecule: ribosomal RNA, 436 nt
Filed under: uncultured Ruminococcus sp.
Lineage: Bacteria; Bacillati; Bacillota; Clostridia; Eubacteriales; Oscillospiraceae
Description: partial 16S ribosomal RNA
Rfam family: Bacterial small subunit ribosomal RNA
Source: RNAcentral
ACGGGAGGCAGCAGUGGGGGAUAUUGCGCAAUGGGGGAAACCCUGACGCAGCAACGCCGCGUGAAGGAUGAAGGUUUUCGGAUUGUAAACUUCUUUUAUUAAGGACGAAGAAAUGACGGUACUUAAUGAAUAAGCUCCGGCUAACUACGUGCCAGCAGCCGCGGUAAUACGUAGGGAGCAAGCGUUGUCCGGAUUUACUGGGUGUAAAGGGUGCGUAGGCGGCUAAGCAAGUCAGAUGUGAAAUCUAUGGGCUCAACCCAUAAACUGCAUUUGAAACUGCAUAGCUUGAGUGAAGUAGAGGCAGGCGGAAUUCCCCGUGUAGCGGUGAAAUGCGUAGAGAUGGGGAGGAACACCAGUGGCGAAGGCGGCCUGCUGGGCUUUAACUGACGCUGAGGCACGAAAGCGUGGGUAGCAAACAGGAUUAGAUACCCUGGUA